GAGCUUGCUCUCGGGUGACGAGCGGCGGACGGGUGAGUAAUGUCUGGGAAACUGCCUGAUGGAGGGGGAUAACUACUGGAAACGGUAGCUAAUACCGCAUAACGUCGCAAGACCAAAGUGGGGGACCUUCGGGCCUCAUGCCAUCAGAUGUGCCCAGAUGGGAUUAGCUAGUAGGUGGGGUAACGGCUCACCUAGGCGACGAUCCCUAGCUGGUCUGAGAGGAUGACCAGCCACACUGGAACUGAGACACGGUCCAGACUCCUACGGGAGGCAGCAGUGGGGAAUAUUGCACAAUGGGCGCAAGCCUGAUGCAGCCAUGCCGCGUGUGUGAAGAAGGCCUUCGGGUUGUAAAGCACUUUCAGCGGGGAGGAAGGCGGUGAGGUUAAUAACCUUGUCGAUUGACGUUACCCGCAGAAGAAGCACCGGCUAACUCCGUGCCAGCAGCCGCGGUAAUACGGAGGGUGCAAGCGUUAAUCGGAAUUACUGGGCGUAAAGCGCACGCAGGCGGUCUGUCAAGUCGGAUGUGAAAUCCCCGGGCUCAACCUGGGAACUGCAUUCGAAACUGGCAGGCU
RNAcentral lists this ribosomal RNA (572 nucleotides) under uncultured Klebsiella sp. RNAcentral describes it as "bacterial SSU rRNA". It matches the Rfam family "Bacterial small subunit ribosomal RNA", at positions 76 to 642 of the family's 1533-position model. The record is from RNAcentral. Lineage: Bacteria; Pseudomonadati; Pseudomonadota; Gammaproteobacteria; Enterobacterales; Enterobacteriaceae.